GAUGAACGCUAGCUACAGGCUUAACACAUGCAAGUCGCGGGGCAGCAUGGGGGUUGCUUGCAAUCCCCGAUGGCGACCGGCGCACGGGUGAGUAACGCGUAUCCAACCUGCCCUUCACCACGGGAUAACCCGGCGAAAGUCGGACUAAUACCGUAUGCUGUCCAUUGACGGCAUCCGAUUUGGACGAAAGGUUUGGCGGUGAAGGAUGGGGAUGCGUUCGAUUAGCUGGACGGCGGGGUGACGGCCCACCGUGGCGACGAUCGGUAGGGGUUCUGAGAGGAAGGUCCCCCAGACUGGAACUGCGACACGGUCCAGACUCCUACGGGAGGCAGCAGUGAGGAAUAUUGGUCAAUGGGCGUAAGCCUGAACCAGCCAAGUAGCGUGCAGGAUGACGGCCCUAUGGGUUGUAAACUGCUUUUAUGCGGGGAUAAAGUGGCCCACGUGUGGGUUUUUGCAGGUACCGCAUGAAUAAGGACCGGCUAAUUCCGUG
RNAcentral lists this ribosomal RNA (490 nucleotides) under uncultured bacterium. Its description in RNAcentral is "partial 16S ribosomal RNA". It matches the Rfam family "Bacterial small subunit ribosomal RNA", at positions 28 to 507 of the family's 1533-position model. The record is from RNAcentral.